UACGUAGGGUGCAAGCGUUGUCCGGAAUUAUUGGGCGUAAAGAGCUCGUAGGCGGUUUGUCGCGUCUGCUGUGAAAACCCGAGGCUCAACCUCGGGCCUGCAGUGGGUACGGGCAAACUAGAGUGCGGUAGGGGAGAUUGGAACUCCUGGUGUAGCGGUGGAAUGCGCAGAUAUCAGGAAGAACACCGAUGGCGAAGGCAGAUCUCUGGGCCGUAACUGACGCUGAGGAGCGAAAGCAUGGGGAGCGAAC
This 250-nucleotide ribosomal RNA is filed under the name uncultured bacterium. RNAcentral's name for it is "partial 16S ribosomal RNA". It matches the Rfam family "Bacterial small subunit ribosomal RNA", at positions 524 to 773 of the family's 1533-position model. The record is from RNAcentral.